This 398-nucleotide long non-coding RNA is filed under the name Brassica napus (rape). Its description in RNAcentral is "long non-coding RNA (BNAP_LNC021348)". Lineage: Eukaryota; Viridiplantae; Streptophyta; Magnoliopsida; Brassicales; Brassicaceae. The record is from RNAcentral.
ACUCUGGGUGAGUGAUACCUAAGCGUCUACCCAAAGUAAUGAUUCAGUUUCUGCUAGCUAACAAACAACGGAAGAACCGUUUUACCUUUCGAUUUGAGGUGAGGCACCGAGGGAAAGCUUCGAGGAGAAAACCCACCGAGAGACAGAUUCGAGGAGAACCAACAAACUACAAAGAAAAACAACCGAUCAGACCAAAAAGAUGCAUAAUCUAAGACAUGCAUAAUAAAGAACACAACAAUCGCUUAUCUUUCGAUUUCAGAAGGGCAACCGAGAGAGAGCUCCGUCGCCUCGAGGAGAACUACCGAGAGAGACGUCACCGACGCGAGCCACCGAUGGAGAUGUCGCUGACGCGAGCAACUGAAGGAGACGUCGAAAUCACCUUUCGCCGAAAAAUCACU